This 484-nucleotide ribosomal RNA is filed under the name uncultured bacterium. RNAcentral's name for it is "partial 16S ribosomal RNA". It matches the Rfam family "Bacterial small subunit ribosomal RNA", at positions 30 to 507 of the family's 1533-position model. The record is from RNAcentral.
AUUGAACGCUGGCGGCAGGCCUAACACAUGCAAGUCGAGCGGAUGAAGGGAGCUUGCUCCUGGAUUCAGCGGCGGACGGGUGAGUAAUGCCUAGGAAUCUGCCUGGUAGUGGGGGAUAACGUCCGGAAACGGGCGCUAAUACCGCAUACGUCCUGAGGGAGAAAGUGGGGGAUCUUCGGACCUCACGCUAUCAGAUGAGCCUAGGUCGGAUUAGCUAGUUGGUGGGGUAAAGGCCUACCAAGGCGACGAUCCGUAACUGGUCUGAGAGGAUGAUCAGUCACACUGGCACGGAGACGCGGCCCAGACUCCUCCGGGAGGCAGCGGGGGGGAAUUUUGGACAAUGGGCGAAACCCUGACCCAGCCAGGCCGGGGGUGGGAAGAAGUUUUUCGGAUUUUAAAGCUCUUUAAGUGGGGAGAAAGGGUAGAAAGUUAAUCCCUUGCUUUUUUGACGUUACCAAAAAAAUAAGCCCCGGCUAACUUCGUG